RNAcentral lists this ribosomal RNA (433 nucleotides) under uncultured bacterium. RNAcentral's name for it is "partial 16S ribosomal RNA". It matches the Rfam family "Bacterial small subunit ribosomal RNA", at positions 29 to 507 of the family's 1533-position model. The record is from RNAcentral.
AACGAACGCUGGCGGCAUGCCUAACACAUGCAAGUCGAACGAGACCUUCGGGUCUAGUGGCGCACGGGUGCGUAACGCGUGGGAACCUGCCCUUAGGUUCGGAAUAACUCCCCGAAAGGGGUGCUAAUACCGGAUAAUGUCUUCGGACCAAAGAUUUAUCGCCUUUGGAUGGGCCCGCGUUGGAUUAGCUAGUUGGUAGGAUAAAAGCCUACCAAGGCGACGAUCCAUAGCUGGUCUGAGAGGAUGAUCAGCCACACUGGGACUGAGACACGGCCCAGACUCCUACGGGAGGCAGCAGUGGGGAAUAUUGGACAAUGGGCGAAAGCCUGAUCCAGCAAUGCCGCGUGAGUGAUGAAGGCCUUAGGGUUGUAAAGCUCUUUUACCCGGGAUGAUGAUGACAGUACCGGGAGAAUAAGCUCCGGCUAACUCCGUG